Molecule: RNA transcript, 2059 nt
Organism: Caretta caretta (loggerhead turtle)
Lineage: Eukaryota; Metazoa; Chordata; Testudines; Cheloniidae
Gene: CHEK2
Gene name: checkpoint kinase 2
Source: RefSeq, a predicted model, not a curated record
GGCGCAUGCGCAGUGAGCGGCGCGCUCGGGCUCGGAGUUGGGUCCGCGUUCAUUCAGUCCUCGCGCGCGGGUUAUUUUGUGCUCUGAUGCCUAUUUCUUGCACAUGUGUAGCAGCUGAUUUUAUAAGCUUCAUGUCAUUGUGUACCUGUGUAGAGUAUCUGCAAUCAAGGUUGAGACUUUAGCCAAGAUGUCUCGGGAGACUGGAAAUGAAUCCCAGCAAUCUCAAGGUGCCCAGCAGUCUCAGAGUGGUACAAGUUCUUCCUCCAGUGGAUCACAGAGUGCCAGUCAGUCUUCUUCCAGUUCUGGGACCCUCAGUUCUUUAGACACAGUUCCUACUCAGGAACUUCCUUCAAUUCCUGAGGAUCAGGAACCUGAAGAAAUUGUUCCUCAGCCAUGGGGUCGACUCUUUGCACUUGGAAAGGGUUUCUGCAAUUAUGACUGCGUGAAUGACGAGUGUUGGUUUGGCAGAGACAGAAGCUGUGAUUAUAGCUUUGCUAAGCUAGGGUUGACCGAGACAGGCUUAUACCAAAACUACAGCAAGAAGCACUUCCGAAUCUUCAGGGAAAUGGGACCAAGAAACUCCUAUGUUGCCUACAUUGAGGACCACAGUGCAAAUGGGACUUUUCUAAAUAAAGAGCUUAUUGGGAAAGGGAAAAGGCUCCCAUUGACUCACAAUUCUGAAAUUGCACUGUCUGUACAGACUAACAAAGUGUUUGUGUUUUCUGAUCUUAUGGUGGAUGAUCAGUCGGGGUAUCCCAGAGAAUUCAGAGAGAAAUAUAUCAUGUCAAAGACUUUGGGAAGUGGUGCCUGUGGAGAGGUUAAAUUGGCAUUUGAGAGGACCACGUGUAACAAAGUUGCUGUAAAGAUAAUCAAUAAACGGAGAUUUAUAACAAGCGCUGUGAGUGACACAGAUCCAGCUUUUAAUGUUAAUACAGAAAUUGAGAUUUUGAAGAAAAUAAAUCAUCCCUGCUUAAUCAAGAUAAAAAACUUCUUUGAUGCAGAAGAUUAUUAUAUUGUUUUGGAAUUGAUGGAAGGAGGAGAGUUAUAUGACAGAGUGUCGAGAUCAAUGAAGAUGAAAGAAGCUACCUGCAAGCUCUAUUUUUAUCAGAUGUUGUUGGCUGUAAAGUAUCUUCAUGAAAAUGGUAUUAUACAUCGGGAUCUAAAGCCAGAGAAUGUGCUACUUUCAUCUUCUGAAGAAACUUGUCUUAUAAAGAUUACAGAUUUUGGACAAUCCAAGAUUCUUGGAGAAUCAUCACUAAUGAGAACAUUAUGUGGUACUCCCACGUAUCUCGCCCCUGAAGUUCUCAAUUCACUUGGGACAGCUGGGUAUAGCCGUGCUGUGGACUGCUGGAGUUUAGGAGUUAUUCUUUUUGUAUGCCUGUGUGGAUAUCCACCAUUCAAUGAACAAAAUACUCAGCUAUGUCUGAAAGAUCAAAUUACCCGUGGAGAAUAUACAUUUAUUCCAAGAGAAUGGAAGCAUGUGUCAGAUAUGGCUUUGGAUCUUGUGAAGAAGCUGUUAGUAGUGGAUCCAAAUAAACGUCUUACAACGGAAAAAGCCUUAGAACAUCCCUGGCUUCAGGUGAUGUACCCCUGGCUGCUCUGAAGGCCAGCAUCCCAAAUGUUCAGUUCUAGAUGUCAGGCCACUUGAACACCACCAGAGGAGCCACUUGAGCUCCUGUAACUGUGUGCAGUGAGGAGCUGAUGGCCCUCCACUCUCUCUGCCAUUGUCUCAAACCCUGGCCUAGUAGAAGCAGCAAGAUUGGCUUCUUCUCCUUGCUUCCAGCCACUUUUACAGGCAGUGAGGAACCUGGAUACCUGUAGCAGGAGCUGAGAACCAGGAGAACAGUAUCCUGUGACUAAUCAGCCUGUCCACAGACCACCACCAUAUGCUUCGUGGUUCACAGUUUGGGAAUUACCCUAUGAGCAAAUUGUGUCUCCAGUGGGGGAUUGGGAUGAAAAUAUGAAGAGCACAUUUCAAGAGCUACUCUCACAAACAAGAGUCUCUAUGCAUCCACCACAGACAUCAAGACUGCCAACCACAACCAGAAAACGUCCCCAU